Vidua macroura (Pin-tailed whydah) is the source of this 525-nucleotide long non-coding RNA. RefSeq lists it as uncharacterized. The record is from RefSeq and is a predicted model, not a curated record. The transcript has 2 exons. NCBI's taxonomy places the organism in Eukaryota, Metazoa, Chordata, Aves, Passeriformes, Viduidae.
GCUGUUAGGGGUUACUGGAGACACUGGGAGGCUGUUAGGGGUUACCUGGGAGGCCGUUAGGGGUUACUGGGAGGCUGUUAGGGGUUACUGGGAGGCUGUUAGGGGUUACUGGGAGGCCGUUAGGGGUUACUGGGAGGCUGUUAGGGGUUACUGGGAGGCCGUUAGGGGCUACUUGGGGGCACGGAGAGGUUUCUAGGGGGCGCUGGGGCUUACUGGGAGUCACUGGGAAAUCUGUGCGGUUACUGGGAGCUACUGGGAGGACACCAAGUGCCUGCUGGGGGUCGCUGGAAGCCAGCGGGGGUUACUGGGAGCUACUGGGAAACUCCUGCCGGGGUCACUGGGUGCUUUUUUUUUGGGGGGGGGGGGUCCCCACUUCGCCCCGCCCCCCGGGGCACAUUAGCCAAUGGGAGUGUGGCCGCCCCUCCCCCCCGGCAUUAACCCCGCCCCCAUCGAAGUGCCUUGGGGGGGAGGGGAAAGCCCCGCCCCUCCCCCCCCCGGGGUCACCCCAAUAAACGGUCCAAGGCC